This 155-nucleotide non-coding RNA is filed under the name Bathycoccus prasinos. The record is from RNAcentral. Lineage: Eukaryota; Viridiplantae; Chlorophyta; Mamiellophyceae; Mamiellales; Bathycoccaceae.
GCAAGAAAAAAAAGGCUUCAAAGAAAAAGAAGACAAAGUUUUCAACUUUGAAUGUAUUCGCGUUCGCGCUCUUUUGUUGUUCGAUUUUGAAUCUGUUUUUCGCUCUGAAACAAAACAAUCCUAACAACAACAACAACAACAACGAAGGUUUGGGC